Molecule: ribosomal RNA, 433 nt
Filed under: uncultured bacterium
Lineage: Bacteria
Description: partial 16S ribosomal RNA
Rfam family: Bacterial small subunit ribosomal RNA
Source: RNAcentral
AACGAACGCUGGCGGCAUGCCUAACACAUGCAAGUCGAACGAGACCUUCGGGUCUAGUGGCGCACGGGUGCGUAACGCGUGGGAACCUGCCCUUAGGUUCGGAAUAACUCCCCGAAAGGGGUGCUAAUACCGGAUAAUGUCUUCGGACCAAAGAUUUAUCGCCUUUGGAUGGGCCCGCGUUGGAUUAGCUAGUUGGUAGGGUAAAAGCCUACCAAGGCGACGAUCCAUAGCUGGUCUGAGAGGAUGAUCAGCCACACUGGGACUGAGACACGGCCCAGACUCCUACGGGAGGCAGCAGUGGGGAAUAUUGGACAAGGGGCGAAAGCCUGAUACAGCAAUGCCGCGUGAGUGAUGAAGGCCUUAGGGUUGUAAAGCUCUUUUACCCGGGAUGAUAAUGACAGUACCGGGAGAAUAAGCGCCGGCUAACUACGUG